UUACGUUCUCAGGGCGGGGUGAAAGUCCCCACCGGCGGUGACAGUCUUUUGGCUGAAGCCCGCGAGCGCCUCGCCAGGCUGGCGAGGGUCAGCAGAUUCGGUGCAACUCCGAAGCCGACGGUCAUAGUCCGGAUGAGAGAGAACGGGA
RNAcentral lists this non-coding RNA (148 nucleotides) under Pelagibacterium halotolerans. Its description in RNAcentral is "FMN sequence". It matches the Rfam family "FMN riboswitch aptamer (RFN element)". Rfam says of the family: The RFN element is a highly conserved domain that is found frequently in the 5'-untranslated regions of prokaryotic mRNAs that encode for flavin mononucleotide (FMN) biosynthesis and transport proteins. This element is a metabolite-dependent riboswitch that directly binds FMN in the absence of proteins. The record is from RNAcentral. RNAcentral also lists the same sequence under 1 other name. Lineage: Bacteria; Pseudomonadati; Pseudomonadota; Alphaproteobacteria; Hyphomicrobiales; Devosiaceae.